Molecule: ribosomal RNA, 253 nt
Filed under: uncultured bacterium
Lineage: Bacteria
Description: partial 16S ribosomal RNA
Rfam family: Bacterial small subunit ribosomal RNA
Source: RNAcentral
UACGUAGGCAGCAAGCGUUGUUCGGAAUUACUGGGCGUAAAGAGUGUGUAGGCGGUGCUCUAAGUUCGGUGUGAAAUCUCCCGGCUUAACUGGGAGGGUGCGCCGGAAACUGGAGUGCUCGAGCGUGGGAGAGGAAAGCGGAAUUCCUGGUGUAGCGGUGAAAUGCGUAGAUAUUGGGAAGAACACCGGUGGCGAAGGCGGCUAUCUGGACCGACAUUGACGCUGAGGCGCGAAAGCGUGGGGAGCAAACAGG